Molecule: non-coding RNA, 178 nt
Filed under: Shouchella clausii KSM-K16
Lineage: Bacteria; Bacillati; Bacillota; Bacilli; Caryophanales; Bacillaceae
Also listed under: 1 other name
Description: Bacillus clausii KSM-K16 Lysine riboswitch aptamer
Rfam family: Lysine riboswitch aptamer
About the family: Riboswitches are metabolite binding domains within certain messenger RNAs that serve as precision sensors for their corresponding targets. Allosteric rearrangement of mRNA structure is mediated by ligand binding, and this results in modulation of gene expression.
Source: Rfam by way of RNAcentral
UGUGAGAGUAGAGGCGCGUAAACGAUCAGUACGGCUGCUGAGGAAUUGGGAUCUGUUUGAACCAGCCGGAAAGGGGUUUAUGCCGAAAUGGGCGGUUUUUCCCAAAGGCCGUACCAUUGGGGCUGUUUCUGAAUAAGGGCAGCACUGUCAUACGAACGUAUGGGGGGCUAUCUCAAAC